UACGGGGGGGGCAAGCGUUGUUCGGAAUUACUGGGCGUAAAGGGCUCGUAGGCGGCCAACUAAGUCAGACGUGAAAUCCCCAGGCUCAACCUGGGAACUGCGUCUGAUACUGGAUGGCUUGAAUCCGGGAGAGGGAUGCAGAAUUCCAGGUGUAGCGGUGAAAUGCGUAGAUAUCUGGAGGAAUACCGGUGGCGAAGGCGGGUUGCUGGGCUGACACUGACGCUGAUGCGCGAAAGCCAGGGGAGCGAACGGG
Molecule: ribosomal RNA, 253 nt
Filed under: uncultured bacterium
Lineage: Bacteria
Description: partial 16S ribosomal RNA
Rfam family: Bacterial small subunit ribosomal RNA
Source: RNAcentral